Molecule: small nuclear RNA, 107 nt
Organism: Topomyia yanbarensis
Lineage: Eukaryota; Metazoa; Arthropoda; Insecta; Diptera; Culicidae
Source: RefSeq, a predicted model, not a curated record
GCCCUAGUUUCGGCUGGGCAUAUACUAAAAUUGGAACGUUAUAGAGAAGAUUAGCAUGGACCCUGCGCAAGGAUCAUAUGCAAAAUUGUGGCACGCACUGAAUAGAA